GAUGAACGCUGGCGGCGUGCCUAAUACAUGCAAGUCGAGCGAACAGACGAGGAGCUUGCUCCUCUGACGUUAGCGGCGGACGGGUGAGUAACACGUGGAUAACCUACCUAUAAGACUGGGAUAACUUCGGGAAACCGGAGCUAAUACCGGAUAAUAUAUUGAACCGCAUGGUUCAAUAGUGAAAGACGGUUUUGCUGUCACGUAUAGAUGUAUCCGCGCCGCAUUAUCUAGUUGGUAAGGUAACGGCUUACCAAGGCAACGCUGCGUAGCCGACCUGAGAGGGUGAUCGGCCACACUGGAACGGAGCCACGGUCCAGACUCCUACGGGAGGCAGCAGUGGGGAAUCUUCCACAAUGGGAGAAAGCCUGACGGAGCAACGCCGCGUGAGUGAUGAAGGUCUUCGGAUCGUAGAACUCUGUUAUUAGGGAAUAACAAAUGUGUAAGUAACUAUGCACGUCUUGACGGUACCUAAUCAGAAAGCCACGGCUAACUACGUG
Molecule: ribosomal RNA, 497 nt
Filed under: uncultured bacterium
Lineage: Bacteria
Description: partial 16S ribosomal RNA
Rfam family: Bacterial small subunit ribosomal RNA
Source: RNAcentral